RNAcentral lists this ribosomal RNA (253 nucleotides) under uncultured bacterium. RNAcentral describes it as "partial 16S ribosomal RNA". It matches the Rfam family "Bacterial small subunit ribosomal RNA", at positions 524 to 776 of the family's 1533-position model. The record is from RNAcentral.
UACAGAGGUCUCAAGCGUUGUUCGGAUUCAUUGGGCGUAAAGGGUGCGUAGGCGGCGCGGUAAGUCGGGUGUGAAAUCUCGGAGCUUAACUCCGAAACUGCAUUCGAUACUGCCGUGCUUGAGGACUGGAGAGGAGACUGGAAUUUACGGUGUAGCGGUGAAAUGCGUAGAUAUCGUAAGGAAGACCAGUGGCGAAGGCGGGUCUCUGGACAGUUCCUGACGCUCAGGUGCGAAAGCGUGGGGAGCAAACAGG